UCCCGUUCGCGAAGUACAAAUUUCCAAGAAAUCAUUUUUUAAACUCUUCUCGGGCAGCUUCUAGUAAAAUGAUCAUAACUUUUGCUACAGAUGUCCAAAUGCCUAUUAUAAAUAUGUUUCUGAAAACUAAAUUCAAAGAUCUACAACUUUUGUUUUUACAUCAACCCCAAAUUCCUUGUGGAUCAAAAGAUAUGAGCUUCCGAAGUAGGACCUGCGCGACCGAAAAUUCCUUCUUCGCGAACGCGAAGAACAAAAGUCCAGAUGACAAUUCCUUCUUCGCGAAUGCGAAGAUUAAAAGCCUCAAAAGCCAAUUUCUGCUUCGCGAACGUGAUGGGACCUCGCGGAUGCACAGUCGCGAACGCGAAGAACAACCCAGAUGGCAAUUCCUUCUUCGCGAACGGCAAGACCAAAAGUCCUAGAAGCCAAUUUCUACUUCGUGAAUGCGAUGGGAUCUCGCGAACGCGAAGGACAAUACCAGAUACCAGCAAUCAGCAGUUCAAAACCUUCCAAAAAUGACCCGUUGACCACCCGAAAUCACCUCGUUGCCCUUGGGACCUCAACCAAAAGCACAAAGAUGUCCUAUUACCUUAUUCAAACUUGCUCGAACCAUAAAAACACUAUCGUAAACAUCAAAAUCGUCAAAUUCCUCAAAUUCAAGCCUAAGUCAAAUUAGAACUUUUCCAAAUUCGCAUUUGAUCCAAAACCCGACCUAAACAUUUCUGAAUGAUCCGAAAAUUUGCCCACAUAUCCAAAAUCACCUAACGAAACUACUGCAACUGUCGGAAUUCCAUUCCGACCCUCGGAUCAAAUUCUCGCAUACCAACC
Molecule: long non-coding RNA, 825 nt
Filed under: Nicotiana benthamiana
Lineage: Eukaryota; Viridiplantae; Streptophyta; Magnoliopsida; Solanales; Solanaceae
Description: long non-coding RNA (NBEN_LNC008236)
Source: RNAcentral